UUUAUUGGAGAGUUUGAUCCUGGCUCAGGACGAACGCUGGCGGCGUGCCUAAUACAUGCAAGUCGAGCGGACCUUUCAAGAGCUUGCUCUUGAAAGGUUAGCGGCGGACGGGUGAGUAACACGUGGGCAACCUGCCCUGUAGACUGGGAUAACUUCGGGAAACCGGAGCUAAUACUGGAUAAUCAAUGACACCACAUGGUGUSAUUGUAAAAGUUGGGUUUACCUAACACUACGGGAUGGGCCCGCGGCGCAUUAGCUAGUUGGUGRGGUAAUGGCUCACCAAGGCGACGAUGCGUAGCCGACCUGAGAGGGUGAUCGGCCACACUGGGACUGAGACACGGCCCAGACUCCUACGGGAGGCAGCAGUAGGGAAUCUUCCGCAAUGGACGAAAGUCUGACGGAGCAACGCCGCGUGAGUGAUGAAGGCCUUCGGGUCGUAAAGCUCUGUUGUUAGGGA
This 457-nucleotide ribosomal RNA is filed under the name Alkalihalophilus pseudofirmus. RNAcentral describes it as "bacterial SSU rRNA". It matches the Rfam family "Bacterial small subunit ribosomal RNA", at positions 1 to 445 of the family's 1533-position model. The record is from RNAcentral. Lineage: Bacteria; Bacillati; Bacillota; Bacilli; Caryophanales; Bacillaceae.